This 346-nucleotide ribosomal RNA is filed under the name Wolbachia endosymbiont of Menacanthus eurysternus. RNAcentral's name for it is "partial 23S ribosomal RNA". It matches the Rfam family "Bacterial large subunit ribosomal RNA", at positions 1 to 403 of the family's 2925-position model. Lineage: Bacteria; Pseudomonadati; Pseudomonadota; Alphaproteobacteria; Rickettsiales; Anaplasmataceae. The record is from RNAcentral.
AAAUAAAUUAUUAAGAGCACUUGAUGGAUGCCUUGGCGUUAAGAGGCGAUGAAGGACGUGGCAGGCUGCGAUAAGCUGCGGGGAAUUGUCAACAGGUUUUGAUCCGCAGAUUUCCGAAUGGGGAAACCCAACUAGUUAAACUAGUUAUUGUAUAUUAAAUCAAUAUGCAAAGCAAACUUGGUGAACUGAAAUAUCUAAGUAACCAAAGGAAAAGAAAUCAACUGAGAUUCUGUUAGUAGUGACGAGCGAAAGCGGAAAAGGCUAGUGGUUUAAGAAUAAGAAUUAGAAUACUCUGGAAAGAGUAACCAUAGAAGGUGAUAGUCCUGUAUAAGUAGAAAGUUUUUAA